This 21-nucleotide non-coding RNA is filed under the name Caenorhabditis elegans. Lineage: Eukaryota; Metazoa; Nematoda; Chromadorea; Rhabditida; Rhabditidae. The record is from RNAcentral.
UCAAAUGUAGCUUUUGAACUU